CUGAGAACCAGGAGAAAAACCCGCACAGACACAAAAUAUUGAAACCAAGAAGUCUUGAAUAUCCGUUUGAAGAAACCGGUCUUCUCUGUGUCCGGCUUUGCCUUUCUUUUUCUCGACCCAGUCUCUCUGUCCUUAGUCUUUCUGCUAAAGAAGCUUCUGUUCUUUUUCGUUUCAAGGCAAAUGUCCUCAAGUUCCUUUAUUUCUUUCCUUCAGUUGUUCGAGUUCAAUCUCAUUUCUACGUUUGUCUUUCAGCAUCUCGUUUAUCUUGCCUUCUUCUGUAUCAAACAGGGUAAUUUUAUUGUUGGUCAUGAAAAUUUGAUUGGAGUAUUAUAAUGGUGUUAAUGUCUCUGACAACUCUUGUUUCUUGAAGAAUUAAUUCCUAAACUUUUGCUUCACACAGCUUUACUGUGUCUGGGAUGUCUUCCUCAGAAUACUGUUUCUCCUCCCAAGUUUUUUUGUUCUCGAAAUACUGCUGUUCCUGAUGAAUCAGACGUUUUCUGGUCUCCUCGAUCAACAAAGACGGACCAUCUCCGGUGUUGUAAAGUUCCAUGAGUAGGUCUCGGAGGGACGGCAGAUUGCAGCCGAUCACCCUCUCUGCAGAGCGGAUGACACGCUGCAGCCUGCCCGUGUCCUUGGCUGUGGCUUUAAGGUACCAGAUGAGGAUGGACUCAAUGACGGCCCGAUAGAAGUGCCAACCACCAUCAUUGACUUUGGGAGGUUGAAUUUCUUUAGCUGCUCAAGAAGAGCCCGUUUGCUCUGUAGGCAAACUGCAGGACAUCCAGGAAGGGGGAGGUAAAGGAUGGUUGUGAAGCUGUGGUGGGGUAAGGCCAGGGCGCUUUAACUUUGCCCAUCGUUUCCAAACUAGCGGAGGACAGAUCCAGUGGAGGAGGUGGAGCUCGAUACGAAGUGAGUUUGAUUGCAGCCAUAUUCAGCUUUUUCAUGUAGUCAGUGAAAUCUGUGUGGAAAGAGAGCAGGAAUCUGAUAAUUAGGUUAGACUCCUUCUUUUGGCUCUCUUAUCAGGCAGGGGCCUCCUUCCCUAAGGCGCUCUAUGGUGAUGUUGUCUGGUUAUCGCUUCUUCAGACUCUUCUUGUCUCGUGUCCUUGGCACUGGCACUGAGGAGUAGCCGGGUGACACAGAAAGUCAAAUAGUUGGAGGUAAAUAGUUUUACCCCUGACUUGUUUAGCCAAACUCCAUCUGGCUUAAAAAGGUGUCUGCGCACCCAGAAAAUGUUGUCUCUUGAGUUAGAGACCAUAUCUUUCGAGGAACAGAGUAUUUCUGUGUUAUUUCUUCAAAUCGUUCACAUCAUAGUUGCCCAGUCAGCGGCUCUCCCUCUGGCCUUCUACAUUCACGUUUACAUUUAGUUCCUGCUUUGAGAAUAGAUAGCGGAUUAUCUAGGAUUCUAGGACACUAUAAAUUCUGUUUUGCAGUUAUAGACUAUUUUGUUCUCUUUUUCUCAGUGGGCCUUGGCUUUGUCCUGCUGAAUGCAAGGGUUGAUGAGGAGUUCUCCCUUUGUGGAAGUGCAUGUGGUGCAGUCGCAUCACAAAUCUUGGUGCGCUGUGCUCUGCCUGUAUGAUGGGGUAUGAUUGUACCAAGAUAGUUCAAGGGAGGACUACCAGUUAAAGAUUCAGUACCAAAGCCCUCCUGUUUCUUGACCUAGUGGUGCUAGUUUAACUUAUUUUUAAAAGCCUCCUUGGAUCGGUAGAGAAUCAUUUACCUUGACCAUAAACUAUAUUCUAAUAUACAUUUAAAUGGCUAUGGAUAUUAUAAAAUAUGCAAAUAUAUCAGCAACCGAGGUAAGUGAUCAUUAUCACAACUCAGACAGAGACCGCAGAUAUGAGGAAUAAGGUUUAAUGAAGAGGAAUUCGGGCAGGCAGUGUCGUUGUCAGAGGCAGGCCGGAGUUCGGUACACAGGAGGUCGGAGGUACAGAGGUGGCAGGCCGUGUCGUUGUCGGAGGCAGGCAGGGGUCAGUACACGGGGAAUCUCAAGAAUCGACUGGAAACUACAGGGAUAUAACGCUGGUAAGACCUGGUGAAACACACAAGACGAACUGGCAACAAGAACAGGGAGAAGACACAGGUUAUAUGCCAAAGGGAUAAUUGACAAACAGGGAACACCUGGUGUGGGAGGAGACAGGGGAAAAACAGGUGAAAACAGGUGAACACAAUUAGGGCGUGACAAUCAUAAGCAGUCAUUGCAUUGAUACUAGUGAUAGUAAAAUAAAUGAUACAAUAUGUAAAGAAAUUAUUACUAUUUUUUUCAGAGAAGCAAGACACUGGUUGGUUGAUCUGAUUGAAUUCUAAUAAGGACAAAAUUAGCUCUAAAUAUGAGUCGAACCCCAGUUCUCCAGUAGGGAAUGCUUCUAGGCAUGAUUUGUUUGAGAGAGAAAUACAAUCUGUUAAUCUUUUUAGUUUAAUUAAAACCGAUAGACGUGAAUUAGCAGUAGGUGCAUGUGAAUUAACGUAAUUCUAGGAGAAAUUGAAACAGCGGCAGAGAUAAACACGUCAUGAGGGAGAGACAAAUAUAAUCAAAAUAGCAAUUAAUCAAAUUCCCUUUUGCGCAGCAUAGCUGUUCUUUGGUGGAAUUACAAUCAGCUUCCAUGAGCUAAUUGCUAGACCGGUUGUCAGGAUUAGUGUUUUUACUUCCCCUACUGCUCUCCACACCCUCCCUGUUCUGCCUUUUUCAUGCCAGUUAUUGUCCAUCCCAUUUAUGUUUGCUGCCUUUCUUUUUAUUGGUUCUGAAAUAUUCUUUAAUUAUCUCUUUCAAACCAUCAGCCUUCUGCUUUACACAAGUGUGUUUUGUCGGCCCAUUUUGAUCGUCCAAUUUAUCUGGAUUCUAUAGGAAUCUUUUCCAAUAUGUUUUUUAUCCGCCUUUUACCACGCUUGCAGGAAUUCACAAUGCCACAGUUGUUUAGCUUCAGGCAACGACAUACUGGUGUUAAAAUGAAAAUGCAUUAAUAAAGCACAACAACAACAAAGUAGCAUGACUUAAGGUAGAGUAACAACCGAGAGUAGCAUGUGAGUAUUAAAAAAGAAAUAGCAACCACCUUCAUCAUUGAAUUUAGUAAACAACUGCAGCAACUGUAGACAACUGUAGGUUUUGCAGAAGACACAAACAGUGUUCUCCUGGGGGACUAUCCUUUUUUUUUAUCCAUGUUAAUGGUGUAAUAGACCACACGGUUGAACACAACCAUUUGCUCCACCUGUAAGCAACGAUCUGACAUAUUAGAAGAAGUGAAGACGAGGCAGUAUGGAAAUCUAUUUUGGCUGUUGUGGUUUUGUUACGUUUUCAUUCAUUUUUCUUCUUUAUACUAUUUUCUUUAGCCAACAAAGCUUGAGUUAUACGGUAGAUCUUCCCCUAUCCUUCCUGUGCUGAGGUUUGAUUGUGAUGAACUUCUUAACAGCCCCCUGCCAUGGGCGCCAACACACCUUAUGAAACAUCCAGCUUUUCCUUAAUAGUUAAUCAUGUGAGACAUCAAAGAGUGAGGCGCCUGCCUUGAUCAAAACAUAUCUGAAGACAUGGCUUGUUGCACUGCUAGUACUCCUCAAGAUAAGGCCCAGCAUGUGUCUGUGUCUGCAUGAGAAGAAAGGGAAAGCGAAUGCGAAUGUGAGCAAAUUAUUUUGCUUUGCAAAAAAUAUCCAUUCCUUGGUGUUUGUCACAUACCGGUUUAUUUUAAUGAAUUCAAAACGGUGUCACAUA
Long non-coding RNA from Gasterosteus aculeatus aculeatus (three-spined stickleback), 3697 nucleotides. The record is from Ensembl. Lineage: Eukaryota; Metazoa; Chordata; Actinopteri; Perciformes; Gasterosteidae.